Molecule: transfer RNA, 72 nt
Filed under: Chloroflexota bacterium
Lineage: Bacteria; Bacillati; Chloroflexota
Description: Chloroflexi bacterium tRNA-Cys
Rfam family: tRNA
About the family: Transfer RNA (tRNA) molecules are approximately 80 nucleotides in length. Their secondary structure includes four short double-helical elements and three loops (D, anti-codon, and T loops).
Source: RNAcentral
GGCUAGAUAGCAUAAUGGUAAUGCGAAAGGUUGCAAACCUUUUUUAUGUCGGUUCAAAUCCGGCUCUAGCUU